GGGCCCGCACAAGCGGUGGAGUAUGUGGUUUAAUUCGAUGCAACGCGAAGAACCUUACCAGGGUUUGACAUCCUGCGAAUCUCUUGGAAACGAGAGAGUGCCUUCGGGAACGCAGUGACAGGUGGUGCAUGGCUGUCGUCAGCUCGUGUCGUGAGAUGUUGGGUUAAGUCCCGCAACGAGCGCAACCCACAUCCCUAGUUGCCAGCAGUUCGGCUGGGCACUCUAUGGAAACUGCCCGUGAUAAGCGGGAGGAAGGUGUGGAUGACGUCAAGUCCUCAUGGCCCUUACGGGUUGGGCUACACACGUGCUACAAUGCUACGGACAAAGAGCAGCAAGUUCGCGAGGACAAGCAAAUCUCAUAAACCGUGGCUCAGUUCAGAUCGUAGGCUGCAACUCGCCUACGUGAAGGAGGAAUCGCUAGUAAUCGCAGGUC
This 433-nucleotide ribosomal RNA is filed under the name uncultured bacterium. RNAcentral describes it as "bacterial SSU rRNA". It matches the Rfam family "Bacterial small subunit ribosomal RNA", at positions 917 to 1350 of the family's 1533-position model. The record is from RNAcentral.